Molecule: non-coding RNA, 267 nt
Filed under: Clostridium argentinense
Lineage: Bacteria; Bacillati; Bacillota; Clostridia; Eubacteriales; Clostridiaceae
Description: T-box sequence
Rfam family: T-box leader
About the family: Uncharged tRNA acts as the effector for transcription antitermination of genes in the T-box leader family. T-boxes are found upstream of many aminoacyl-tRNA synthetase genes and some amino acid biosynthetic genes usually in Gram-positive bacteria. The anticodon of a specific tRNA base pairs to a specifier sequence within the T-box motif, and the NCCA acceptor tail of the tRNA base pairs to a conserved bulge in the T-box antiterminator hairpin.
Source: RNAcentral
AUAAAAGCGAAGAAAAGAAGCAGUAGUUACAUAACACUGGCUAAAGAGAGUAGGUGAUGGUGGAAUAUCUACGCUAAGAGUGUAAUGAAUAACAUCUUGAAGUUUCCAAUGGAAAUCUAUAUUUAUAUUAGAGUGUACAUUUGGACGGAGCCAAACCGUUAGUAGUUGGACAGUAUCGAACUUAGAAAUAGUUCUGUACUGAUAUUGAGUGAGCAUAUGUAAGCUAACAUAGGUGGUACCGCGGAAGUUAUACCUUUCGUCCUAUUU